GUAAAGGAUUGUCCUUACUGGACAUGUUCCAGACUAUCGAGCGAUGAGAUGUUUUUAUUAUCAUUGGGUGUAGUAAAGUUUGAUGCAACAAGUGACAAAUUCAAGUUGUUGCCUGAUUUCCGCUCCAAUAUAUUGGUAAGUCCAGAAAAUUAUGAUUUGAUUUAUAAAUUCGUGGACAUGACAGAUCAUCUUGCGUUGGUUGUGCUUCACCAAAGCUCUGCAGAUUGUAUGGUGGAUAUCUACUCUUUCGAGGGGGAUGAGGGAUGUGGUGCUUGGAUUAAAAUGCACAAUAUGGGAUGUGUCCACUUUUUUUUAAAUAAUUAAGAUUAUUUGAUAUUCAUGUAAAUGACCUCUCAAAUCUUUUGCCCCAUUUAGCCAAUCUUUUCAGAAAUAUUGAUUUUUUUUCGGAGAAUAAAAGGAAAGAUACUAUGUUCAAAUACA
Molecule: long non-coding RNA, 441 nt
Filed under: Daucus carota (carrot)
Lineage: Eukaryota; Viridiplantae; Streptophyta; Magnoliopsida; Apiales; Apiaceae
Description: long non-coding RNA (DCAR_LNC007663)
Source: RNAcentral